CCUACGGGUGGCAGCAGUGGGGGAUAUUGCACAAUGGGGGAAACCCUGAUGCAGCGACGCCGCGUGGGCGAAGAAGUAUUUCGGUAUGUAAAGCCCUAUCAGCCGGGAAGCAGAUAUGCCGGUACCUGAGUAAGACGCACCGGCUAAAUACGUGCCAGCAGCCGCGGUCAUACGUAUGGUGCACGCGUUAUCCGGCAUUACUGGGGGUAAAGGGAGCGCAGGCGGCACGGUAAGGCUGCUGGGAAAGACCGCGGCACCAACGCGGGACUGCAUUUGGAACUGCCGGGAUGGAGUGCCGGAGAGGUAGGCGGAAGGCCUGGUGUAGCGGUGAAAUGCGUAGAUAUGAGGAGGAACACCAGUGGCGAAGGCAGCCUACUGGAGGGUGACUGACGCUGAGGCUCGAAAGCGUGGGGAGCAAACAGGAUUAGAUACCCGAGUAGUC
RNAcentral lists this ribosomal RNA (442 nucleotides) under uncultured bacterium. RNAcentral describes it as "partial 16S ribosomal RNA". It matches the Rfam family "Bacterial small subunit ribosomal RNA", at positions 338 to 795 of the family's 1533-position model. The record is from RNAcentral.